This 72-nucleotide transfer RNA is filed under the name Rhizoctonia solani AG-1 IA. Its description in RNAcentral is "tRNA-Ala (TGC) (tRNA-Ala-TGC-1 1 to 3)". It matches the Rfam family "tRNA". From Rfam's summary of the family: Transfer RNA (tRNA) molecules are approximately 80 nucleotides in length. Their secondary structure includes four short double-helical elements and three loops (D, anti-codon, and T loops). Further hydrogen bonds mediate the characteristic L-shaped molecular structure. tRNAs have two regions of fundamental functional importance: the anti-codon, which is responsible for specific mRNA codon recognition, and the 3' end, to which the tRNAs corresponding amino acid is attached (by aminoacyl-tRNA synthetases). tRNAs cope with the degeneracy of the genetic code in two manners: having more than one tRNA (with a specific anti-codon) for a particular amino acid; and 'wobble' base-pairing, i.e. permitting non-standard base-pairing at the 3rd anti-codon position. Lineage: Eukaryota; Fungi; Basidiomycota; Agaricomycetes; Cantharellales; Ceratobasidiaceae. RNAcentral also lists the same sequence under 1 other name. The record is from RNAcentral.
GGGCGUAUGGUGUAGUGGUAUCACGCCUGAUUUGCAUUCAGGCGGUCCAGAGUUCGAUCCUCUGUGCGUCCA